Non-coding RNA from Pelobates cultripes (western spadefoot toad), 289 nucleotides. The record is from the annotation of a GenBank genome assembly. Lineage: Eukaryota; Metazoa; Chordata; Amphibia; Anura; Pelobatidae.
GUUUGUCUUAUGUAUUUUUCCUACGCUUAACUUUCUUUGACUAAAGGGGGAGCUUAAGUAAGCUCCAUCUCCUGUGUCAAAAAAAGUUUUACCACAACACUCACCCCUCCUCCCUGAUCUUGCGUUGCUUCAUUCACCAUGCUCAAUAGGGCACCAGCGACAGGGCUGCCAUCAGAAAUUUUGGGACCCCUGACACAGCCCAAAGUCUGGGGCCCACCCCUAAGCCCGCAUCUGUGCCUGCCAACAUGGCCCACCCCCAAGGCCCACCCCCGAGUCCCCCCACAUGGAC